Long non-coding RNA from Dreissena polymorpha, 457 nucleotides. RefSeq lists it as uncharacterized. The record is from RefSeq and is a predicted model, not a curated record. The transcript has 2 exons. NCBI's taxonomy places the organism in Eukaryota, Metazoa, Mollusca, Bivalvia, Myida, Dreissenidae.
UUCCGAAGGAAAAAACUGGUUAUUAGAUUGGCGAAUGCGGGCGGGCUGGCUGGCGGGCUGGCUGGCUGGCUGGCGGGCUGGCGGAAUAAGCUUGUCCGGGCCAUAACUAUGUCAUUCAUUGUCAGAUUUUAAAAUCAUUUGGCACAUUUGUUCACCAUCAUUGGACGGUGUGUCGCGCGAAAUAAUAACGUCGAUAUCUCCAAGGUCAAGGUCACACUUUGAGUUCAAAGGUCAAAAAUGGCCAUAAAUGAGCUUGUCCUGGCCAUAACUAUGUCAUUCAUUGUGAGAUUUUAAAAUCAUUUGGCACAUUUGUUCACCAUCAUGGGACGGUGUGUCCCACGAAAGAAUCACGUCAAUAUCUCCAAUGUCAAGGUCGCCACGACUAAAAAUAGAUUUAAAAAAAAAAAAAACUUACAAAGGGGGUUAAUUUUUUUUGGUCAUUUCAAAAGUUCAGUUU